RNAcentral lists this ribosomal RNA (230 nucleotides) under uncultured bacterium. Its description in RNAcentral is "partial 16S ribosomal RNA". It matches the Rfam family "Bacterial small subunit ribosomal RNA", at positions 562 to 791 of the family's 1533-position model. The record is from RNAcentral.
AAAGGGUCCGCAGGCGGGUUUAUAAGUCAGUGGUGAAAGCCUACAGCUCAACUGUAGAACUGCCAUUGAUACUGUAGAUCUUGAAUUCGGUCGAAGUGGGCGGAAUAUGACAUGUAGCGGUGAAAUGCUUAGAUAUGUCAUAGAACACCGAUAGCGAAGGCAGCUCACUAGGCCUGGAUUGACGCUCAGGGACGAAAGCGUGGGGAGCAAACAGGAUUAGAUACCCUAGU